UACGUAGGGUGCGAGCGUUGUCCGGAAUUAUUGGGCGUAAAGAGCUCGUAGGCGGUGUGUCACGUCGGCCGUGAAAACCUGCAGCUUAACUGUGGGCGUGCGGUCGAUACGGGCAUCACUGGAGUUCGGCAGGGGAGACUGGAAUUCCUGGUGUAGCGGUGAAAUGCGCAGAUAUCAGGAGGAACACCGGUGGCGAAGGCGGGUCUCUGGGCCGAUACUGACGCUGAGGAGCGAAAGCCAGGGGAGCAAACAGG
RNAcentral lists this ribosomal RNA (254 nucleotides) under uncultured bacterium. RNAcentral describes it as "partial 16S ribosomal RNA". It matches the Rfam family "Bacterial small subunit ribosomal RNA", at positions 524 to 776 of the family's 1533-position model. The record is from RNAcentral.